Molecule: ribosomal RNA, 404 nt
Filed under: uncultured bacterium
Lineage: Bacteria
Also listed under: 1 other name
Description: bacterial SSU rRNA
Rfam family: Bacterial small subunit ribosomal RNA
Source: RNAcentral
UGGGGGAUAUUGCACAAUGGGGGAAACCCUGAUGCAGCAACGCCGCGUGAGGGAAGAAGGUUUUCGGAUUGUAAACCUCUGUCCUUGGUGAAGAUAAUGACGGUAGCCGAGGAGGAAGCUCCGGCUAACUACGUGCCAGCAGCCGCGGUAAUACGUAGGGAGCAAGCGUUGUCCGGAUUUACUGGGUGUAAAGGGUGCGUAGGCGGCUUAGCAAGUCAGACGUGAAAUGCAGAGGCUUAACUUCUGAACUGCGUUUGAAACUGUUAGGCUUGAGUGAAGCAGAGGUAGGCGGAAUUCCCGGUGUAGCGGUGAAAUGCGUAGAGAUCGGGAGGAACACCAGUGGCGAAGGCGGCCUACUGGGCUUUAACUGACGCUGAGGCACGAAAGCGUGGGUAGCAAACAGG